RNAcentral lists this ribosomal RNA (777 nucleotides) under uncultured Neocallimastigales. RNAcentral's name for it is "partial large subunit ribosomal RNA". It matches the Rfam family "Eukaryotic large subunit ribosomal RNA", at positions 23 to 646 of the family's 3401-position model. The record is from RNAcentral. Lineage: Eukaryota; Fungi; Neocallimastigomycota; Neocallimastigomycetes; Neocallimastigales.
AGAGAGAGACAUGCGCGCAUAUCAAUAAGCGGAGGAAAAGAAACUAACAAGGAUUCCCCUAGUAACGGCGAGUGAAGCGGGAAGAGCUCAAAUUUGAAAUCUUAAAGGGUUUCCCUUUACGAAUUGUAGUUUAAAGAAGUGUUUUCUGUUGAGGUUUUGGUAAAAGUUCUUUGGAAUAGGACAUCAUAGAGGGUGAGAAUCCCGUAUUUGACCUUUACUUUCAACUUUGUGAUACACAUUCAAAGAGUCGGAUUGUUUGGGAAUGCAGUCCAAAAUGGGUGGUAAAUUUCAUCUAAAGCUAAAUAUUGGCGAGAGACCGAUAGCGAACAAGUACCGUGAGGGAAAGAUGAAAAGAACUUUGAAAAGAGAGUUAAACAGUACGUGAAAUUGUCAAAAGGGAAGCGUUUGACACCAGUGUUGUUUUUCUGAAAAUCAAUUAAAGAACUGUUUAUGCUAAGUCUGUUUAGACUUUAUCAGCUAAUCUGUUUAGUUUUGAGCUUUUCUUUAAUGCACUUUUCAGUUAACAAGUCAACAUCAAUUUCUUUUGCUGUAAAAAAGCUUGAGGAAGGUGGCUUGAGAUUCGUCUUAAGUGUUUAUAGCCUCUUGCCUAUGCAGUCGGAGAGAUUGAGGUCUGCAGCGUAGAUCCUUCGGGGCUAAAUGCAUUUGUGCUAAGUUAUAGCAUUUUCAUAGACAACUUGUUGACUAUGAUCUGUCAUGUAGCUUACUCGCUUAUGCUAUUUUACCUACGCUUAGGAUGUUGAUGUGAUACUGCGAGCA